Molecule: ribosomal RNA, 449 nt
Filed under: uncultured bacterium
Lineage: Bacteria
Description: partial 16S ribosomal RNA
Rfam family: Bacterial small subunit ribosomal RNA
Source: RNAcentral
AGCGAACGCUGGCGGCAGGCCUAACACAUGCAAGUCGAACGGAUCCUUCGGGAUUAGUGGCGGACGGGUGAGUAACACGUGGGAACGUGCCCUUUGGUUCGGAACAACUCAGGGAAACUUGAGCUAAUACCGGAUGUGCCCUUCGGGGGAAAGAUUUAUCGCCAUUGGAGCGGCCCGCGUCUGAUUAGCUAGUUGGUGAGGUAAAGGCUCACCAAGGCGACGAUCAGUAGCUGGUCUGAGAGGAUGAUCAGCCACAUUGGGACUGAGACACGGCCCAAACUCCUACGGGAGGCAGCAGCGGGGAAUCUUGCGCAAUGGGCGAAAGCCUGACGCAGCCAUGCCGCGUGAAUGAUGAAGGUCUUAGGAUUGUAAAAUUCUUUCACCGGGAACGUUAAUGACGGUACCCGGAGAAGAAGCCCCGGCUAACUUCGUGCCAGCCGCCGCUGUAA